RNAcentral lists this ribosomal RNA (445 nucleotides) under uncultured bacterium. RNAcentral describes it as "partial 16S ribosomal RNA". It matches the Rfam family "Bacterial small subunit ribosomal RNA", at positions 354 to 796 of the family's 1533-position model. The record is from RNAcentral.
GUGAGGAAUAUUGCGCAAUGGAGGCAACUCUGACGCAGCCAUGCCGCGUGCAGGAAGAAGGCGCUACGCGUUGUAAACUGCUUUUAACCGGGAAGAAACCCCAGGACGUGUCCUGGGUUGACGGUACCGGAGGAAUAAGCACCGGCUAACUUCGUGCCAGCAGCCGCGGUAAUACGAAGGGUGCAAGCGUUAUCCGGAUUCAUUGGGUUUAAAGGGUGCGUAGGCGGAGCGUUAAGUCAGUGGUGAAAUCCUGCAGCUUAACUGUAGACUUGCCAUUGAUACUGGCGCUCUUGAGUGCGCUUGAAGUGGGCGGAAUGUGCCGUGUAGCGGUGAAAUGCUUAGAUACGGCACAGAACACCAAUUGCGAAGGCAGCUCACUAAGGCGAUACUGACGCUGAGGCACGAAAGCGUGGGGAUCGAACAGGAUUAGAUACCCUAGUAGUCC